AUUGAACGCUGGCGGCAUGCCUUACACAUGCAAGUCGAACGGCAGCACGGGAGCAAUCCUGGUGGCGAGUGGCGAACGGGUGAGUAAUAUAUCGGAACGUGCCCAGUCGUGGGGAUAACGUAGCGAAAGCUACGCUAAUACCGCAUACGAUCUAUGGAUGAAAGCGGGGGAUCGCAAGACCUCGCGCGAUUGGAGCGGCCGAUAUCAGAUUAGCUAGUUGGUAGGGUAAAGGCCUACCAAGGCGACGAUCUGUAGCGGGUCUGAGAGGAUGAUCCGCCACACUGGGACUGAGACACGGCCCAGACUCCUACGGGAGGCAGCAGUGGGGAAUUUUGGACAAUGGGGGAAACCCUGAUCCAGCCAUGCCGCGUGAGUGAAG
RNAcentral lists this ribosomal RNA (379 nucleotides) under uncultured bacterium. RNAcentral describes it as "bacterial SSU rRNA". It matches the Rfam family "Bacterial small subunit ribosomal RNA", at positions 30 to 410 of the family's 1533-position model. The record is from RNAcentral.